RNAcentral lists this ribosomal RNA (409 nucleotides) under uncultured Microbacteriaceae bacterium. RNAcentral describes it as "bacterial SSU rRNA". It matches the Rfam family "Bacterial small subunit ribosomal RNA", at positions 355 to 776 of the family's 1533-position model. Lineage: Bacteria; Bacillati; Actinomycetota; Actinomycetes; Micrococcales; Microbacteriaceae. The record is from RNAcentral.
UGGGGAAUAUUGCACAAUGGGCGCAAGCCUGAUGCAGCAACGCCGCGUGAGGGACGACGGCCUUCGGGUUGUAAACCUCUUUUAGUAGGGAAGAAGCGAAAGUGACGGUACCUGCAGAAAAAGCACCGGCUAACUACGUGCCAGCAGCCGCGGUAAUACGUAGGGUGCAAGCGUUAUCCGGAAUUAUUGGGCGUAAAGAGCUCGUAGGCGGUCUGUCGCGUCUGCUGUGAAAACUGGAGGCUCAACCUCCAGCCUGCAGUGGGUACGGGCAGACUAGAGUGCGGUAGGGGAGAUUGGAAUUCCUGGUGUAGCGGUGGAAUGCGCAGAUAUCAGGAGGAACACCGAUGGCGAAGGCAGAUCUCUGGGCCGUAACUGACGCUGAGGAGCGAAAGCGUGGGGAGCGAACAGG